Phasianus colchicus (ring-necked pheasant) is the source of this 7658-nucleotide non-coding RNA. Lineage: Eukaryota; Metazoa; Chordata; Aves; Galliformes; Phasianidae. The record is from RefSeq and is a predicted model, not a curated record.
GCGCGGCGCUGGGUGUCCCCCCGCCGCGCCGCCUCCCCCGCCGCCCCCGGCGGCUGCCAGGCUCCAGGAAAGUAGCUUGAUGAGUGUCCAAAGUAGCAGUGGAAGUUUGGAGGGGCCGCCAUCUUGGUCCCGGCUCUCCACGUCCCCACCGAGCCUGCAGGGCUGCUCCGCGGCGGCCUCCCAGCUGCACGGCGCGCCGCCCGGCAAGCCGCCCAAGGAAGGAGCAAUGGAUGAGCUUCAUAGUCUGGACCCAAGAAGACAAGAAUUGUUAGAGGCAAGAUUUACAGGAGUAGUAAGUGGCAGCACUGGGAGUACUGGAAGUUGCAGUGUUGGAGCUAAAGCCUCAACAAAUAAUGAAAGUUCAAACCACAGUUUUGGAAGCUUGGGAUCUUUAAGUGAUAAAGAAUCAGAGACUCCAGAGAAGAAACAGUCAGAACCUUCCAGAGGAAGAAAAAGAAAAGCAGACACUCAGAGUGAAAGCAGCCAAGGAAAGAGUAUCGGGGGACGUGGCCACAAGAUUAGUGACUAUUUUGAAUACCAAGGUGGCAACGGUUCUAGUCCAGUUCGAGGUGUACCUCCUGCAAUCCGAUCUCCUCAGAAUUCACAUUCCGCCCCUUCUUCUGUUCGACAGAAUAGUCCUUCUCCUACUUCAUUAGCUUUUGGGGACCACCCUACCACGCAACCAAAGCAGUUAUCUUUUAAAAUUACUCAGACUGAUCUCACAAUGCUGAAAUUAGCUGCACUAGAAAGUAAUAAAAAUCAAGACUUGGAAAAGAAAGAAGGUCGUAUAGAUGACUUACUCAGGGCUAACUGUGAUCUUAGAAGACAAAUAGAUGAACAACAAAAGCUACUUGAAAAAUAUAAGGAAAGGUUAAACAAAUGUAUUUCAAUGAGCAAGAAGCUUCUAAUUGAAAAGAGCACACAAGAGAAGCUGGCAAGCAGAGAGAAGAGCAUGCAAGACAGAUUACGCCUGGGGCAUUUUACAACAGUUCGUCAUGGUGCUUCAUUUACUGAGCAGUGGACAGAUGGCUUUGCAUUUCAGAAUCUUGUAAAGCAGCAAGAAUGGGUGAAUCAACAAAGGGAAGACAUUGAAAGGCAAAGAAAGCUCCUGGCCAAGCGAAAGCCGCCAACUACAAAUAAUUCUCAGGCACCAUCUGCCAAUUCUGAACCCAAGCAGAGGAAAAAUAAAGCUGUGAAUGGGGCAGAAAACGAUCCCUUUGUUAGACCCAAUUUGCCACAGCUUUUGACUCUGGCAGAGUAUCACGAACAGGAAGAAAUUUUCAAACUUCGAUUAGGACAUCUCAAGAAGGAGGAAGCUGAAAUACAAGCAGAACUUGAGCGUUUGGAAAGAGUUAGGAAUCUUCACAUCAGAGAACUGAAAAGAAUUAAUAAUGAAGAUAAUUCACAGUUUAAAGAUCACCCUACGUUGAAUGAACGAUAUUUGUUACUCCAUUUACUUGGCCGAGGUGGCUUCAGUGAAGUGUACAAGGCUUUUGAUCUUUAUGAACAAAGAUAUGCUGCUGUGAAGAUUCACCAGCUUAACAAAAGCUGGAGGGAUGAAAAGAAAGAAAACUACCACAAACAUGCCUGCAGAGAGUAUAGAAUACACAAAGAACUGGAUCACCCUCGGAUAGUUAAAUUAUAUGACUACUUCUCCUUGGAUACAGAUACGUUUUGCACGGUGUUAGAAUACUGUGAAGGCAAUGACUUGGAUUUCUAUCUCAAGCAACAUAAAUUGAUGUCAGAGAAGGAAGCUAGGUCCAUUGUAAUGCAAAUAGUAAAUGCACUACGGUAUCUCAAUGAGAUCAAGCCCCCUAUUAUACACUAUGAUCUUAAACCAGGUAAUAUUCUUCUUGUAGAUGGAACAGCAUGUGGAGAAAUAAAAAUUACUGAUUUUGGCUUGUCCAAAAUAAUGGAUGAUGAUAGCUAUGGUGUGGAUGGAAUGGAUUUAACUUCACAGGGAGCAGGAACUUACUGGUACUUACCUCCAGAGUGUUUUGUAGUUGGCAAAGAGCCACCAAAGAUUUCUAAUAAGGUUGAUGUAUGGUCAGUUGGAGUAAUCUUUUUCCAGUGUCUUUAUGGUAGAAAGCCAUUUGGCCACAAUCAAUCUCAGCAAGAUAUCUUACAAGAAAAUACAAUAUUAAAAGCCACAGAAGUCCAGUUCCCUGUUAAGCCUGUUGUUAGCAAUGAAGCCAAGGCCUUUAUCAGACGCUGCUUAGCAUACCGAAAAGAGGAUAGAUUUGAUGUCCAUCAACUGGCUAAUGAUCCUUACCUUCUCCCCCAUAUGAGGAGAUCAAAUUCUUCAGGAAACUUACAUAUGACUGGGCUAGCAGCAUCCCCUACGCCACCUACUUCAAGCAUUAUUUCAUACUGAAAUUUCUCCAACUGAGGAAUGGCAUGAUACCUUGGUGUAGUUUCCAGAUGCAGACGUGAGCUUGAGAACAUUUGGGUGUUUUUACGCAGGACAAGUUUGAUAACUGUGUUUUCAGGCUGAAGUCCUCCUACAUAGUGUUGUUUGUAUGAUUGGAAUGGGUCAUGGACUGUGAAUAGAUAUACCCUUCAGAGAACAACCUUUAAAUGUUGAAGGAUGACAUUGCCUGUUGCACACUAACAGCAUACUGGGACUGCAUCCUUUCCAUCGUCUGCCAGUGUGAAACCGAGGUGUGGGGUUCAAGGAUUUUGCCAUGGCUGCAUGCUAACAUUAGAUUUCAUUAUAUCCUCUUCUGUGUCUUGGAAGUUAUAGACUGUUUUGCCUAAAGAAAAGAGAAUCUGGGAAUAUGGGCAGUGGUGGCUGAAUACAUGACAGUUACUCCACCUUGACAGAUGCUUACUUCUGAAAUCUAAACACUUAAUGCAUUUUCAUAUAUGCACAUGAAGAAUCACUGUGUCAUCUUUCAAAUCGAAGUUGCAAGAUCUUAACACAAGCACAACCCUGUGUAUUGGAGGUAAGCAACUUAUGGUACUGUCAGUAAAAAUUUUGUAUCCCCACGUGGAUUUAUUCUGUGUUCACAGCACGUCCAAGUUGGUGUCUGAUGACUGAUGCUCAGCAAUUUGUGCUUGGGAUAGAAGUACCCUUGAGACUGAAUCCAGAAGCCUGAAUUACUGCGACUUGUCGAGAAAUGCUGAUCACUUCUAGGCUUACAGCUGUGGCUCAGCGGCAGCUGGCAGAGCUCUCUCCACUGAUUUCAGCACUGGAAUACCUUCCCCGUGUGCCUUUCUAUUGAAAAGCCAGCUUAUGUGAAGCAGGGAGGAAUGUCUGGAGCAGAAGGUGGAGAAGAAUGUUCUGGUUUAUGUAAUCCCUCUUACUGGAGCAGCAGUUUCUGUACCCAUGUGGAAAACCCAGAUGCAGGGGAUGUAUCCAGCACUGCGCAGAAAUGUACCAGCAACUAAACUGAGGCAAAUAGUUUUCAAGCCAUCUUGUUCCAGCAAGAUGUGGUGGUAAAAGUUAUCCCCAGUGAGGAAGUACCUGGCCCAGAGUGUAAAUCCUUUUCAGGGGUGCAGAGUCAGCAUUAGUAACUGACAGCAAAGUUACAGCCAACAGCCAUGCCAGGUGCUCCUUCUGCAGUGUAACCUUAAAAAAUGCCAUUUCAUGUGGCAUUACAAAGACCGUGCUGGAGAGUAAAAGAUAACCUCUUGCCUCUGGUGAGGCAAACAAAGCCUGGGAACAGUACAUAUCUACCACUAUCAGCUGAAGUUUCAAUCUGAGAAUACCCUCCAGCUCAUCCAUAGAUUUGAAGCUUCCACAGCAGCUAGGUGUGACACUGGGGCGUGGUGGUGCGGGGUCGAUGGUUGGACUAGAUGAUCUUGGUGGUAUUUUCUAGUCUUAACGAUUCUAUAAACUUCAGGUGCCACUUUGUGUCUCUUUUACUGAAAACCCCUCCUGCUUCUCAUCUGCAUCUCUGAUUUGCUUCAGGCUCCUUUUUACUAAGUUUGAGGGCUUAGUCUCUGUUUUACAGCUGUGCUGCAAACUGCAGCAGUAUCUGUUCUUUCCUGUGAGGUGGCACAUUAAUGACUACGUACAUUCCCAUGGCAAUAUGUGGCAGUGUGCUUGUGCCCACCUACCAGUGGGAUGAGCACCACCCUACUUGGCCUCUGUGAGCACUGCAGCCAGCACCCUGCUCUCUCUGGCUGCUCAUGGGAUAGUGCUUGCUGCUCCAUCUAGCCCUCCUCCCUGUGCAAUCACUGAUUGCCUAUCACCCGCCCAGCCAAAGCAACUCAAAGAGGAGGACUGCAGUGCCUGUGAGUGCUCUGCUGGGGGGGAGGAGGGGAGCGAGAGCAUCCCACAAAACAGCAAAUGUUUCUCGUCUUGCUCCAGUAAUUCAGCACAGGCUUGUGCUUUGGAUUGCUGAACCCAAGACUUUGUUUCACCCUUUUUUAAUGGGGAUUUGAACAAUGUCGCUCUGAACAACUGUUGAGCACUUCUCUGUUAAGAUAGUUAUGCUGAUUAAUCUGAGACAUAUGUUUAUUAACUGGAAGGCCAUCUGGCUUUUCUGUCCUUUAACAGAUCUCUUUCAGCCUCUUGCUUCCUAUACAUCACACAAAACAAAAAAAACCCUUACUUAUUUUUAGCAAGCCUGUGCUAGCUUUUGAGAAUGACAGUGCAAGGCACCAUCCAGAAAUGAUGUGGGCUUCCUUUGGGUGAGUAAGGAAAGAAGAAAAUGGGGGCAGGAGAUGGGAUAAAAGUCACGAAUCUGAGAAUCUGAGAUGCCCUUAGGCCUUAGCCUGGAAUAUUUCCUCUGUAGCACAGGAUAUGGCAGCAGGUGCUGCCGCAGCGGGUCCUUUCUGACAGGGCCUGUUCGUAUUCAUACUGAGACAGCGUCCAAAGCAGAGGCCUGCGGGCUGAAGGUGGGCACAGCAAGGACGGUACCCAGUGCUGCCAGCUGGGGCGUCCCAGGGGCAGCCAGGUAAGGAUGUGCUGCGAGGCCUCCCUGAGAGCUGUGUAUGGCAGUUCCCAAGAAGCAUUUCAAGAACAUUUCACUCAGUACCUCAAGGUUUUGGCUGCUUCACCCCAACUCCCUCAAAGCCUUCCUGUUCCUUUAUGACAUGCAGUUUUAGGAUAGAAAUAAUCAGAAGUAUAAUAGUAUAAUGCAAUCCAGAAGGAUGUUAUUUUUAUUCUUUUUUCUUUCUUUUUUUUGGCUGCUGGGAAUGAAAACGGACAAGAAAUGUGUUAGGAACAGUGCGUUCCUUUCCAUUGUUACACAAGGCAUGCCCAAGAGCAAGAAGCGUGGUUUUUUUCCUUUCUCUGACCAGGUGUUGCUUAUAAGCUGCACAAGAAAUACGUUUCAAAUAAAAAACAUAACCCUUAAACAAAAGGUAAUUGUUUUACAAAUUCAGACAUUUCCAGUGCUCAGCAUGCUCUUUGGCAAUACAGAGGCUUCCAGUUGCUUCCUAUUUUCUUAGCAGUUGCAUUCCAGCAGGAUUUUAUCCAAGCACUGUUUAUAUGUACAGGAACGUCUCUUAAUGUCUGAGGGCUGAGCCUUAGGAAGCUGCUGCCACUGCCUGUGACCACAUUUGUUCCGCUCCCUGGUUUGUGAGAACUCCAGCCCACCUGAGGGCACAAACUGCAUUGGGAAAUGACUUCUCAUACCUUUUCAAUUCCAGCCUUACCAUCACGAAGGAUCAAACCCAACCGGUGCCUGCUGACUGUUACAAUCGAGCCAUGGACUAUAGCAUUUUCAACAUUCUCUUCCAAAUUCUAAUGUUCCAUAGGAGGACUGUUUUGAAGAUUGAGAAAAAUGUAUUUUCCGGGGAAAUCAGCUUGGAGGAUAAGGCAGAGAUGGUAGCAAGGUGGACACUGCUGACUCUUAGCUACUCUCUGAGCUGUGUGAUACAGUGCACGCAUACUGCAGUGAGAAGAAAUCAAAGCUAUUUCUUUAACACCAGCCUCAGCAGCCAUCUCCUGGCACUGCAGCAGAGACUCAAGCUGCAGAAUGCACCUCUUCAACGUGUGCAUGUGAUUACUCAAGCAGAGCUGUAGCUGUGCCCCUGCACUUGCAACAAACAUCUCAACCACUGAACAGCACUGGCCCCAGAGCAGCCUCCUGUGGAACAGGAUGCUCCACCUUACACUGGGAGAUUACAGCUGAAGUUCUGCGCAACCGAAUCGCUUCCACAUUUGAAGCUGUGUUACCUUUAGCAGAACUGCUUCUGGCUACACUGAAACACUGCCUUGCUUCCAUUACUCUCAUAAUCUUCACAACGUGGAUAUAUAAAGCAGUCAAGAAAAGACCUUAAAAUAGCUAACAGAAAUGCAUGACUUCAGCCUAAGCAUUCUAUUCUAUUUUUUGGCUACUGGAGACAUCUAUGCAACUACAGAAGUCAACAGCUUGCAGUUGGAAAGCAUAAAACAUACCAGCUAACCUGAGAUGUUACUCCACAGAACAUCAUUCCACGCUAACAACAAAAAAGGCAUUAGGUUAUGAUCAGCAUCCAGUUAACAAUUGCUCUACAUUGGGUAUGUGACAAAACUUUUUUAUUUCUACUGCUCUUGGAUAAGAGAGGAAAGCAGCUUUGUCGAGGGCUCUGACUGGGACAUUGGGUAAAGAAGUUCUAGGAAAGGCUGUAAGGCCAUUGAGGCUUUAUGAAGCUCAGGAAUAGCAGACGUUCUUUAUAUACAGCAAAGAGAAGAGGGAACAUCCUUAUUACAAAAAGUUUAAUUCUGAUAUAUUUGAUACCGGAGUUACAAAAUAAAAUAAAUCAAAAGAUACAUUCUGAGAAGCUCUGAGCUCUGUAUUUACCAAGGCAGAGGGACUUCAAACUCCAAGCAGUUGAGAAAAUAAAUUGCUAGCAGUGUGAAAAAGGAUUUGGGGAUCUCCAAAUAGAUAAUAGGUGAUGAGGGAACAUGCAGUGGUGGGCCAGAGGAAAGACAAAUUCUUAAGGGAUAAAGAUAAGACAAGACAACAAAUGUUAGAUAAGGCUUUCACUUGAACUAAUUUGAAAUGUUAUGAUCAGCAAUCAAAUGCAACUACUAUUCUUAAGAGUGAUCAGUCCCACUGCACUGCCAAAAGGAGACAAGCUCCAGAUAACUUGAUGACAGCUAGAAGUGAGACCGUGGUUGAAAUAAGCAUGUAUAAGUGAAAUUCCAGUAGUACAGAAGGACUGGAGUAGUGUGGAAGCAUCUGACCCCAGGAGCUGAGGCUGUCGCUGGAGUACAGCACACAUACCAGACUAUACAAAGUGUUUCAUCUGCUCUAAUUCCACAGUGUUCAUCCUGAACAUCGGUUUCAAAAAAACAUCAAUUACUUGCAGGCAGAUUUUGUGACUCACUGCUACAGCAGAUCUAACCACUGCUGCUCCUGCCUGCAUGCUGAAGUCUGGCAUUCCUUCUUGGAUCCAUUCCUCAGGAAAAGAGCCUUUUUACUGAUUUGUACUAGAGAGCUGAGCUUAAACCAGAAAAUCUUACAGUAUUAAACAAAUAAAUGUGCUAUUUUGUCACAGAGGAUGAAAUUCCAGGAAUUUAUUGCUGUAUGUCUGCUUAAUCCAUUAAUUUGUCUUACAGUAGUCAUGAAGUGCCAAAUUGUGUGCUACAUGUAACAUAUCCUGUAUUCCGUUUCAAAUGCCAUUUUACAGUGGGGGUGUGAAGCAGCACAGCAGCAGUCACAAAACAUGGCUUGAGCUUCUCUUCAGGAGUUUAAAAAUAAAGACUUGUAUACAAGCUG